UUCCAUCACCUCACUCCCCAUGGUGCUGCCAACUAACAAACUCUAAAUUCUCUUCGUUAACCCAUCAAUCUGAUCAAACUCAAAUAAAAAAUUUCUCUUCCAUUACAAUUGUGGUAAAAAACUACAAAUUCGUAGGAAAAUUACCACAAAAAUACUGAGCCAAAAUUGGUCAGAUUCAUCUUCCCCUUCUCAGCAGAAGUUCAUCUUCAAGCAGCAUAAGGGAUGUCAAUCGACUCAAUCUUGUUCCCUUGCACAAGAAAUGGAACAAUUGCAAACUUUUUCCUUCUUUGUCCACGCCGCACGCCCGAUCCGACAAUCUCUAUCUCAUCAAGAUCUAGGGAAUUUAUUCAGAGAGGGGGUUGGGGAGAGAGAUAGGUGAGAGAGCUUGAAGAACAACCCAUCAAAGAUGGCGUUGAGGGGAGUAGUGCAAUGGGCAUAGCCACAACGUCGAAGUGCAAACUUGCUCCGAUGGCAGUUGCUAUGUCGGCUAGAUGAAGGAGGAAAUGAAAAUAAAAAAGAUGAAGGAGCAUAGAAAAUAAAAAAAAUAAAGACAGAAAAUUGGGGGAGUGGGGGAGGGUCGGGAGACUUCUACAUGGAUUAUUAAUAAAUGAAGAUGAUGAGAGAUUCUAUAGCGAAUAUUAAUAAAUAAAAUAAUUGUUAUUUUAUAUUUAAUAUCAUACUUAUUUUAGUCAUUUGACAUGUUACAAUAUAUUUUUUUUAAAAGUAUUUUUAUAAGAAAAAAUUAUCAAACACUCAACUGUUUUAUUUUACAGCUGUUUAUUCUUACAGCACAGCAGAAACAAUUUUUUUUAAAACACGAGAAUACCAAAUAAAUUAUCAAAUAUGAAGACUCACUAAAUAGAGUAUGCCCUACUUUAAUUUUGGGUAGGAGGGGUGCAUACUGUGCAGCAACUGCUGCUCUUUUUGUUAUUUUUCUUGUUUUCUGAACCCACCCACGGGAGAGCUUGUCAUUUUGGUUUUCUCUUCUGGGUUUUUUUUUUUAACUCUUGAAAAAUUAAUUGUAGAGAUAUUUUUUUUAGUUUUUAUCAAUGGUCACAAUAUUUCAAUAAAAAAAAUAAUUUUUAAUAUUUUAGUCUCUAUAUAAAGAUUUUUCAUUGCACAAAAUAUUCUUUUAAGGAUUCUAAUAUUUCUAUCAAAAUUUCAAAAAAAAAAACAAAAUUAAGAAAACAUCUAAGUUCAUUAUUUUUUAAAAUAUUAUUUUA
RNAcentral lists this long non-coding RNA (1223 nucleotides) under Malus domestica (apple). RNAcentral's name for it is "long non-coding RNA (MDOM_LNC003678)". Lineage: Eukaryota; Viridiplantae; Streptophyta; Magnoliopsida; Rosales; Rosaceae. The record is from RNAcentral.